Molecule: transfer RNA, 71 nt
Filed under: Loxodonta africana (African savanna elephant)
Lineage: Eukaryota; Metazoa; Chordata; Mammalia; Proboscidea; Elephantidae
Rfam family: tRNA
About the family: Transfer RNA (tRNA) molecules are approximately 80 nucleotides in length. Their secondary structure includes four short double-helical elements and three loops (D, anti-codon, and T loops). Further hydrogen bonds mediate the characteristic L-shaped molecular structure. tRNAs have two regions of fundamental functional importance: the anti-codon, which is responsible for specific mRNA codon recognition, and the 3' end, to which the tRNAs corresponding amino acid is attached (by aminoacyl-tRNA synthetases). tRNAs cope with the degeneracy of the genetic code in two manners: having more than one tRNA (with a specific anti-codon) for a particular amino acid; and 'wobble' base-pairing, i.e. permitting non-standard base-pairing at the 3rd anti-codon position.
Source: Rfam by way of RNAcentral
GCCCUGGUGGCACAACGGUUAAGUGCUCGGCUGCUAACCGAAAGCUGGCGGUUCAAACCCACCCAGUGGCU